RNAcentral lists this non-coding RNA (29 nucleotides) under Cricetulus griseus (Chinese hamster). Lineage: Eukaryota; Metazoa; Chordata; Mammalia; Rodentia; Cricetidae. The record is from RNAcentral.
GUGGAUAAGCUGUAGCGAUCCUUAGGUCG